Molecule: transfer RNA, 67 nt
Filed under: Pandion haliaetus
Lineage: Eukaryota; Metazoa; Chordata; Aves; Accipitriformes; Pandionidae
Description: tRNA-Cys
Source: RNAcentral
AGACUCCGGCACGCACUUAGCGUACAUCAAUGAGCUUGCAACUCAACAUGAACUUCACUACGGAGCC